CCUGGCUCAGGAUGAACGCUAGCGGCAGGCCUAACACAUGCAAGUCGAGGGGUAACAGGGAAGCUUGCUUCCGCUGACGACCGGCGCACGGGUGAGUAACGCGUAUACAACCUGCCUAUCACACAGGAAUAGCCCUUGGAAACGAGGAUUAAUGCCUGAUGGUUUUGUAAAACCGCAUGGUUUAACAAAUAAAGAUUUAUCGGUGGUAGAUGGGUAUGCGUAAUAUUAGCUAGUUGGUAAGGUAACGGCUUACCAAGGCGACGAUAUUUAGGGGGUCUUAAAGGAUGAUCCUCCACACUGGUACUGAGACACGGACCAGACUCCUACGGGAGGCAGCAGUGAGGAAUAUUGGUCAAUGGACGCAAGUCUGAACCAGCCAUGCCGCGUGAGGGACUACGGUUCUAUGGAUUGUAAACCUCUUUUCUACAGGAAGAAUAAGGAUCUCGUGAGGUCUGAUGACUGUACUGUAGGAAUAAGCACCGGCUAACUCCGUGCCAGCAGCCGCGGUAAUACGGAGGGUGCAAGCGUUAUCCGGAUUUAUUAGGUUUAAAGGCUACGUAGGCGGGAGCAUAAGUCAGUGGUGAAAUCUCGAAGCUCAACUUCGAAACUGCCAUUGAAACUGUGUUUCUUGAAUUCAGUUGAGGUGACUAGAAUAUGUAGAGUAGCGGUGAAAUGCAUAGAUACUACAUAGAAUACCGAUUGCGAAGGCAGGUCACUAAGCUUGGAUUGACGCUAAUGUAGGAAAGCGUGGGUAGCGAACAGGAUUAGAUACCCUGGUAGUCCACGCCGUAAACGAUGCUUACUGGUUAUUGGCAUCUAAUGUCAGUGACUGAGGGAAACCAUUAAGUAAGCCACCUGGGGAGUACGUUCGCAAGAAUGAAACUCAAAGGAAUUGACGGGGGCCCGCACAAGCGGAGGAACAUGUGGUUUAAUUCGAUGAUACGCGAGGAACCUUACCAGAGCUUAAAUGUAGAUUGAUCGGCGUGGAGGCACGUUUUUCCUUCGGGACAAUUUACAAGGUGCUGCAUGGUUGUCGUCAGCUCGUGCCGUGAGGUGUCGGGUUAAGUCCCAUAACGAGCGCAACCCCUAUCGUUAGUUGCUAACAGGUGAUGCUGAGGACUCUAGCGAGACUGCCGGUGUAAACCGUGAGGAAGGUGGGGAUGACGUCAAAUCAGCACGGCCCUUAUGUUCUGGGCUACACACGUGUUACAAUGGAUGGUACAAAGAGCAGCUACCUAGUGAUAGGAUGCGAAUCUUCAAAGCCAUUCUCAGUUCGGAUUGGAGUCUGCAACUCGACUCCAUGAAGUUGGAUUCGCUAGUAAUCGUAGAUCAGCAACGCUACGGUGAAUACGUUCCCGGGCCUUGUACACACCGCCCGUCAAACCAUGGAAGUCGGAAGUGCCUGAAGACUGUUGCCGUAAGGGACGGUUUAGGGUAAAGCUGAUAACUGGGGCUAAGUCGUAACA
Molecule: ribosomal RNA, 1466 nt
Filed under: uncultured bacterium
Lineage: Bacteria
Description: bacterial SSU rRNA
Rfam family: Bacterial small subunit ribosomal RNA
Source: RNAcentral